AUCUGAUUCCACCAACAUGCACUUCCAACUCCUAGCUCUACACAAGGUGAAAAAGUCAUUCCACAGUGCUCUGCUGAAAAAUACCCCAAAGCGGGGGCAUUUUGGGUACGAGGGAGAGGACACACUUUGCGGUUAUGGAGCACACCAAGAUUGUGGGACAGAAACUAGCAAGGGACACUAAAAGCAGACAUGAAGUACCAGCAAAUCUUCUGCAAAAGGACCAAACAGUUGGUGGUUAAGAAGCCCUACACCACUUCUGGCAGAGUCUUAUCCAGCUGGCUGUUCCCCGCAGACAGGACAAGCCCAUUGCCAUAAGCACAAAGUCUCAGCUUCCCCAGCCCACCAUUGCCAGUGUACCAAAGCCU
RNAcentral lists this long non-coding RNA (365 nucleotides) under Salmo salar (Atlantic salmon). RNAcentral describes it as "lncRNA (ENSSSAG00000109073.1)". Lineage: Eukaryota; Metazoa; Chordata; Actinopteri; Salmoniformes; Salmonidae. The record is from RNAcentral.